Picea glauca (white spruce) is the source of this 119-nucleotide non-coding RNA. The record is from Rfam. Lineage: Eukaryota; Viridiplantae; Streptophyta; Pinopsida; Pinales; Pinaceae.
GGGUGCGAUCAUACCAGUGUUAAUGCACCACAUCCCAUUAGAACUCCGCAGUUAAGUGCGCUUGGGCCAGGGUAGUACUGGGAUGGGUGACCUCCCGAGAAGUCCCGGUGUUGCACCCU